UACGGGGGGAGCAAGCGUUGUUCGGAUUUACUGGGCGUAAAGGGCGCGUAGGCGGUCAGCACAAGUCAGUUGUGAAAUCUCCGGGCUUAACUCGGAAAGGUCAACUGAUACUGUGCGACUAGAGUGCGGAAGGGGCAACUGGAAUUCUCGGUGUAGCGGUGAAAUGCGUAGAUAUCGAGAGGACCACCUGCGGCGAAGGCGGGUUGCUGGGCCGACACUGACGCUGAUGCGCGAAAGCCAGGGGAGCGAACGGG
Molecule: ribosomal RNA, 254 nt
Filed under: uncultured bacterium
Lineage: Bacteria
Description: partial 16S ribosomal RNA
Rfam family: Bacterial small subunit ribosomal RNA
Source: RNAcentral